AGCUUUUCACAGUUGUGAUAUUGUAGCCAGUGAGGUUUAUCCAAGGCACAAUCAUUGCUAACUAAAAUUUUUUUCCCAAUCAAGCUGCUUCUUCAGGUGAUUCUAGCACUGCUUGC
This 116-nucleotide small nuclear RNA is filed under the name Octodon degus (degu). RNAcentral describes it as "U4 spliceosomal RNA (ENSODEG00000025133.1)". It matches the Rfam family "U4 spliceosomal RNA", at positions 1 to 123 of the family's 138-position model. Rfam says of the family: U4 small nuclear RNA (U4 snRNA) is a component of the major U2-dependent spliceosome. The record is from RNAcentral. Lineage: Eukaryota; Metazoa; Chordata; Mammalia; Rodentia; Octodontidae.